RNAcentral lists this ribosomal RNA (239 nucleotides) under uncultured Lactobacillus sp. RNAcentral's name for it is "partial 16S ribosomal RNA". It matches the Rfam family "Bacterial small subunit ribosomal RNA", at positions 123 to 355 of the family's 1533-position model. The record is from RNAcentral. Lineage: Bacteria; Bacillati; Bacillota; Bacilli; Lactobacillales; Lactobacillaceae.
AACCUGCCCAAGAGAUCGGGAUAACACCUGGAAACAGACGCUAAUACCGGAUAACAACAGAUGAUGCCUAUCAACUGUUUAAAAGAUGGUUCUGCUAUCACUCUUGGAUGGACCUGCGGUGCAUUAGCUAGUUGGUAGGGUAACGGCCUACCAAGGCGAUGAUGCAUAGCCGAGUUGAGAGACUGAUCGGCCACAUUGGGACUGAGACACGGCCCAAACUCCUACGGGAGGCAGCAGCA